AUCUGAAGCUUCCGGACGAGGAUGUAGAGAACCUCCGGGGCAAGAGGUUCGACCCGAGCGAAGCGAGAACGUUGCGUCAGCAACGCACCCGCAGGGUUGUCACGCAGUAGCGAGUCAUCCUCUAUCACCGGCAG
RNAcentral lists this small RNA (134 nucleotides) under Salmonella enterica subsp. enterica. RNAcentral's name for it is "RtT sRNA". It matches the Rfam family "RtT RNA". From Rfam's summary of the family: This family represents a bacterial cis-regulatory element known as RtT RNA. The record is from RNAcentral. Lineage: Bacteria; Pseudomonadati; Pseudomonadota; Gammaproteobacteria; Enterobacterales; Enterobacteriaceae.